GUUCUUCGCCGAGCUCCUCGACCGGCGCUGACCGCUGCGAGGUGCCAGGCGCCUCGCAGCGGUCGGUGCGACGUCAGCUCUGCGUGCGGG
This 90-nucleotide unclassified non-coding RNA is filed under the name plant metagenome. RNAcentral describes it as "partial contains 5.8S ribosomal RNA, internal transcribed spacer 2, and large subunit ribosomal RNA". The record is from RNAcentral.